GGAGUUAGGAAAUGUAAGUGCGCUAAUACCGCAUUUAUUUGACGAAGGCUCCAAAGGAAGCCACGGCUAACUCUGUGCCAGCAGCCGCGGUAAUACAGAGGUGGCAAGCGUUGUUCGGAAUUAUUGGGCGUAAAGAGCACGUAGGUGGGUUUGUAAGUCAGAUGUGAAAGCCUUCUGUUCAACGGAAGAAUUGCAUCUGAAACUGCGAGUCUUGAGUGUAGGAGGGGAGAGUGGAACUUCUG
This 242-nucleotide ribosomal RNA is filed under the name uncultured Planctomycetales bacterium. Its description in RNAcentral is "partial 16S ribosomal RNA". It matches the Rfam family "Bacterial small subunit ribosomal RNA", at positions 439 to 672 of the family's 1533-position model. The record is from RNAcentral. Lineage: Bacteria; Pseudomonadati; Planctomycetota; Planctomycetia; Planctomycetales.